ACAGGGCGGGACGCACCUAUUCCGAGAAAGGAAAAGUGAAAUCUAAGACCGACGGCGGAAAAACUGGCAAUCUAUGGGAUGUUGUCAAUGGGAUGCCAUGGUUCAAAAUCAGCGAGGGUCUUGGAUCCGGGGGAUUCCAGGGUACGCGAAAGGUGGUGACGGCCGACCACAGAAGCCAGCUGGCAGUGCUGCGAUCUCCCUUGAGGACACAGAAAUGUUUGAAGAGGACUGAAGGAUGACAAAGAACAGCUGGAGGAGACCGUAAGACGGUGGACUACAGUCAACAAUGUUGCAGCAACUCAGAAGACUGGUGGAGAAGGGUUGUCCCCAGUUUUACCGAUGAGCAGUGGAUUGAAAAUUGUAUUAAUAAAUUAUCCAUUUAUCACUGGC
Molecule: long non-coding RNA, 390 nt
Organism: Nerophis lumbriciformis (worm pipefish)
Lineage: Eukaryota; Metazoa; Chordata; Actinopteri; Syngnathiformes; Syngnathidae
Source: RefSeq, a predicted model, not a curated record